This 424-nucleotide ribosomal RNA is filed under the name uncultured eukaryote. RNAcentral's name for it is "SSU rRNA". It matches the Rfam family "Eukaryotic small subunit ribosomal RNA", at positions 592 to 1017 of the family's 1831-position model. The record is from RNAcentral.
CAAUAGCGUAUAUUAAAGUUGUUGCGGUUAAAAAGCUCGUAGUUGGAUUUCUGCCGAGGACGACCGGUCCGCCCUCUGGGUGAGCAUCUGGGACGGCCUGGGCAUCCUCUUGGGGAACGUAGCUGCACUUGACUGUGUGGUGCGGUAUCCAGGACUUUUACUUUGAGAAAAUUAGAGUGUUCAAAGCAGGCUAUCGCCUUGAAUAUAUUAGCAUGGAAUAAUGAUAUAGGACUUUGGUUCUAUUUUGUUGGUUGUUCGAGGACCGAAGUAAUGAUUGAUAGGGACGGUUGGGGGGCGUCAGUAUUCUGAAGCGAGAGGUGAAAUUCUUGGACCUUCGGAAGACUAACAACUGCGAAAGCAUUCGCCUAGGAUGUUCUCUUUAAUCAAGAACGAAAGUUGGGGGAUCGAAGACGAUCAGAUACCA